GACGAACGCUGGCGGCGUGCUUAACACAUGCGAGUCGAGCGGUAAGGCCCCUUCGGGGGUACACGAGCGGCGAACGGGUGAGUAACACGUGAGCAAUCUGCCCAUCACAUCGGGAUAACUCCGGGAAACCGAAGCUAAUACCGAAUACGACCACCUCCGGCAUCGGAUGGUGGUGGAAAGUUCCGGCGGUGGUGGAUGAGCUCGCGGCCUAUCAGCUUGUUGGUGGGGUAACGGCCCACCAAGGCUUCGACGGGUAGCCGGCCUGAGAGGGUGACCGGCCACACUGGGACUGAGACACGGCCCAGACUCCUACGGGAGGCAGCAGUGGGGAAUAUUGGACAAUGGGCGGAAGCCUGAUCCAGCAACGCCGCGUGAGGGAUGACGGCCUUCGGGUUGUAAACCUCUUUCAGCAGGGACGAAGCGCAAGUGACGGUACCUGCAGAAGAAGCACCGGCCAACUACGUG
Molecule: ribosomal RNA, 465 nt
Filed under: uncultured bacterium
Lineage: Bacteria
Description: partial 16S ribosomal RNA
Rfam family: Bacterial small subunit ribosomal RNA
Source: RNAcentral